Long non-coding RNA from Musa acuminata AAA Group (dessert banana), 1560 nucleotides. RefSeq lists it as uncharacterized. The transcript has 2 exons. The record is from RefSeq and is a predicted model, not a curated record. NCBI's taxonomy places the organism in Eukaryota, Viridiplantae, Streptophyta, Magnoliopsida, Zingiberales, Musaceae.
UCGUGGUCGGUCUCUAUCGAUCGUUCUCACCAACGUCGUCUCCUUCUCUCUCUCUCUCUCCUCACUUUUGAAGUUGCCAUCAUCUUUCUAUCCUCUGAGACCCCAAACCGUGGUUCUUAAGGUGGAAACGUGUAAGUCUUGGGUGGGAAGUCGAUUAGGUUUAGGAGGUGACAGGAACUCCUCCUUCUCACCCGAACACAGGAGUAUCUUUGGUUGUGGGAAGUGAUCAGGUGCGUGAGGGUUUCGAUCCAGGCCUUGUUUCUCUCUUUUUUGCCCUGGCUUUUAAACCCGCUGGUUCCUGGGAAUGGAUCUGUCGCUGGUGUUGCCUCGAUACAACUCAAAGAGCACUGCAACAGGCUGCAAGAUUCCGCCUGUGGGUCCAUAAAUCCAGGCUCCAGCCGCAGAUGUCACCUCGCGUGGGAUGCUGCAGUACUUGUCGCAGUGCUCAUGUCUUCCUCUUCUCUCGCUAUUUCAUCUCCUCGACUCAAAUCUUGGGGUGGGAUAGCAGCCUUCCUUGAAGUAUACAGCUUCCGGUGCGCUCUUCUCUCGGUUAAUUGCGUUCCAGUUUGUCGGAGCAGCAGCCGGCCGGUGCUUGCAGCUGCGGCAUCAUCAAGAUUCACACGAACGUCCGGGGAGCCCCGUCGUCGUCGUCGAUGAGAAUCUUGAUGAUGCUGCAUCAGCAAACAAGCGGCUAAAUAUAUAUGCCUCCAUCGCUAAGUCAUCAACAAACUAUCUUCUUGCUUUGAGAUGAAUGAUGUUAAGCUGCUCGAUUUGGUUGCCACAGUAAAUCAUAUAGAUCAAUGAACUCUUUUUUAAGUUGUGAUACAACAACUGCAUUCAGAAGAAGGAUCAAGGAGAUCCUUGGCUACAUGGUAAGAUUUAUUUUCUGAAACCUGGAGAAAACAAAAAGAGCAACUCAUUCACAUUAAUGCACACUAACAUGUAAAGUAUGUGCAAGGAUCAUUUGCUAAUUAAUGCAGGUUUGAUCAUUGUUCUUAGAGAGCUUACCAUCUAAAUAACUAUGUGGCAGGAAAUGUCCUGGGAUGGAAAGGAUCUAAAAAGGAAAAAAAAAAUCUUAUGUUAGCAAUAACUCUCCUUCAUCAGUCACUCAUUUAGGUGGACCAAACAGAAGGUACAUGUUGCUGCUAGUUGUUUCUAAGUGGACCUAUCUUUUAGGACAACAUGCACAGAACUGUCCGGCAAUUUGAUUUGAGCUCCUUUCUCCAUCUAAGCACAUAUACCAACAUAUACAUCUAAGGGCUAAACGGAUGUGAUUUAGUCAAAGUAUAUUGGUUGUACUAUUGUAUGAACUGGAGCCUCUAAGGUGUGUUGUUUUCUCUCCAAUCAGAGGGUUGCCAUAAUCCAAAAGAAAGGGUUUCUUUCAUUCAAGUCGACUGCAGGGAAACACUGCAACUGUGAUGGCAUCAAUGAUACUUUUCAUGCAAGGUAUCGGGUGCUUUAUAGCCAGAGACCUCUAUGAGAAAAUGUUAUGCUGAGCAGUGACAGCCACUGUGCUUCCUUCUUUCGUUUGUACGUUCUUUCCAAUAUUUCUUCUUGUCA